GCAUAUCAAUAAGCGGAGGAAAAGAAACCAACAGGGAUUGCCCCAGUAACGGCGAAGUGAAGCGGCAACAGCUCAAAAUUUGAAAUCUGGCCCCCCCGCGGGGUCCGAGUUGUAAUUUGAAGAGGAUGCUUCUGGCGAGGCGCCGUCCGAGUUCCCUGGAACGGGACGCCGCAGAGGGUGAGAGCCCCGUACGGUCGGACGCCGAGCCUCUGUGAAGCUCCUUCGACGAGUCGAGUAGUUUGGGAAUGCUGCUCAAAAUGGGAGGUAAACCCCUUCUAAAGCUAAAUACCAGCCAGAGACCGAUAGCGCACAAGUAGAGUGAUCGAAAGAUGAAAAGCACUUUGAAAAGAGAGUUAAAAAGCACGUGAAAUUGUUGAAAGGGAAGCGCUUGCGACCAGACUCGCGCCCGUCGGAUCAGCCGUCGCUCGCGGCGGCGCACUCCGGCGGGCUCGGGCCAGCAUCAGUUCGUUGGGGGGGAGAAAGGCGGCGGGAAUGUGGCUCUACGGAGUGUUAUAGCCCGCCGCGUAAUGCCCCCUGGCGGACUGAGGACCGCGCGUAUGCAAGGAUGCUGGCGUAAUGGUCGUCAGCGACCCGUCUUGAAACACGGACCAAGGAGUCGUCCUAAUAUGCGAGUGUACGGGUGUCAAACCCCUGCGCGUAAUGAAAGUGAACGGAGGUGAGAGCUUCGGCGCAUCAUCGACCGAUCCUGAUGUUCUCGGAUGGAUUUGAGUAAGAGCAUAUUGGGCCGGACCCGAAAGAAGGUGAACUAUGCCUGUGUAGGGUAAAGCCAGAGGAAACUCUGGUGGAGGCUCGCAGCGGUUCUGACGUGCAAAUCGAUUCGUCAAACAAUGGGCAUGGGGGGCGAAAGACUAAUCGAACCUUCUAGUAGCUGGGUUUCCGCCG
Molecule: ribosomal RNA, 903 nt
Filed under: Microascus murinus
Lineage: Eukaryota; Fungi; Ascomycota; Sordariomycetes; Microascales; Microascaceae
Description: LSU rRNA
Rfam family: Eukaryotic large subunit ribosomal RNA
Source: RNAcentral